Corythoichthys intestinalis (scribbled pipefish) is the source of this 885-nucleotide long non-coding RNA. RefSeq lists it as uncharacterized. NCBI's taxonomy places the organism in Eukaryota, Metazoa, Chordata, Actinopteri, Syngnathiformes, Syngnathidae. The transcript has 3 exons. The record is from RefSeq and is a predicted model, not a curated record.
GAUAAUAUCGGUCACCGAUAAUUAUCGGCCGAUAAUGGCAAUUAUGACGUCACACAGAUAAUCCAGAUAAAACCAAAUUCAACCGAUAAUGCAAUCCGAUAAUUAUAUACUUUGAAAUAUUUUAAUUGAUUCUAACAUAAGCUCUUUUGAGUUAAAUGUAAUUCCUACUUUGGCCUGCGGAUGGCGCAUGUUGCGUUCUGACGGCGAAGAGUGGAGGCGCCACAGAGGAAGAAAUUACUUUUCCUUUGCUGUGGAGUAAAAACAGCUUGUAGCUCAACUCAUGUCCUCUACUCUGUCAUCACAGUCAUGAGCAAGUUGUGUGGGUUGCUGUGUCGGGUCUGUUCUCACUAUGAACCAGAGGUCGAAUGGAAGCGAGCUGAGACCACCUUGUCUAGGCCCUCUCAGCUUGGUUGUUUAACUACACAUCCGAAAGCAGCUGUUGUCUUCACAUAUACAGGAAGCAUAGAGCAGGUAGCAGAGCACAUGUACACACAAAGAAGAACGUAUUUGGGCACACGAAGAAAUCGCACAGCCCAGUGAGAGAGAGCGGGAAUAGUUUACAGCUGCAAGCCUGCACGCACAUUUGUUGCUUGUGGAGCAUCCACAGAAGCAACACAUGCAUCUAACACCUUUUGUACUGUUUAUUGUGCAUUUUCAAUUGUGGUCAAAUACUUGGGGCGAGUUUGUGCGAUUGUUUUUGAUGAUGUGUGGACGCUAACUGAUACAUGCUAAUCGUUUGUGUGGAUUGUUAUUGUUGUAGCAGCAGCUAGUUAUAAACGCAAAUUUCAAUUGCUGCUAUUGAAAAUGAAACUGAUUUAAAUUUAAUUUUUAUUUUAGUUUCUUUCUGCAAGUGUUGAUGUCAUGAGCAGCUGAAUAAAGUCAGAA